RNAcentral lists this ribosomal RNA (486 nucleotides) under uncultured bacterium. RNAcentral describes it as "bacterial SSU rRNA". It matches the Rfam family "Bacterial small subunit ribosomal RNA", at positions 28 to 507 of the family's 1533-position model. The record is from RNAcentral.
GAUGAACGCUGGCGGGAGGCUUAACACAUGCAAGUCGAGGGGCAGCAUAGGGUAGCAAUACUCUGAUGGCGACCGGCAAACGGGUGAGUAACGCGUAUGCAACCUACCCUGUACAGGGGGAUAACCCGGAGAAAUUCGGACUAAUAUCCCGUAAUAAUAUCCGGAGGCAUCUUUGGAUAUUUAAAGUUCCGACGGUACGGGAUGGGCAUGCGUAACAUUAACUGGUUGGUAAGGUAACGGCUUACCAAGGCUAUGAUGUUUAGGGGUCCUGAGAGGGUGGUCCCCCACACUGGUACUGAGACACGGACCAGACUCCUACGGGAGGCAGCAGUGAGGAAUAUUGGUCAAUGGGCGCAAGCCUGAACCAGCCAUCCCGCGUGCAGGAAGACGGCCCUAUGGGUUGUAAACUGCUUUUCCCCGGGGCGAAUAACCCCCUCGCGAGGGGGAGUGCCGGUACCGGGGAAUAAGGAGUCGGCUAACUCCGUG